Non-coding RNA from Cinara cedri, 283 nucleotides. The record is from the annotation of a GenBank genome assembly. NCBI's taxonomy places the organism in Eukaryota, Metazoa, Arthropoda, Insecta, Hemiptera, Aphididae.
GUGAAUAGGUUUUUUAGGAAUUUCGGGUUUUCAAAGAGGUAUUUUCCCUGUCGAAUUCAAUUUCUGCACUGUACGAAGUAAUGGGGGUUUUAAUUUUUCGAGACGUGCCCUGCUCAUUGUAACUAUUACUUUUGACGGCAUCUAUGACGCGUCGGGUUUCUAAUACAGUGAUUCUAGUUCUUUGAUUUUAGUUAUUUUCCGUUCCUUUGUCUUUGUACCGACCUUUGGAUGGAAAUUGUAUAGAGUAAUUUUAUUUCUAUUUGUACGCAACGAUAAACCGUUG